GUGGUCGUAGCCCAAGCGGUAGAGCUCCAGUUUGUGAAGCUGGCGGUACGGGUUCGAGCCCCGUCGAUCACCCCA
Molecule: transfer RNA, 75 nt
Filed under: Bacilli bacterium
Lineage: Bacteria; Bacillati; Bacillota; Bacilli
Description: tRNA-His
Rfam family: tRNA
About the family: Transfer RNA (tRNA) molecules are approximately 80 nucleotides in length. Their secondary structure includes four short double-helical elements and three loops (D, anti-codon, and T loops).
Source: RNAcentral